UAGGGAAUCUUCCACAAUGGGCGAAAGCCUGAUGGAGCAACGCCGCGUGUGUGAUGAAGGGUUUCGGCUCGUAAAACACUGUUGUAAGAGAAGAAUGACAUUGAGAGUAACUGUUCAAUGUGUGACGGUAUCUUACCAGAAAGGAACGGCUAAAUGCGCGCCAG
Molecule: ribosomal RNA, 164 nt
Filed under: uncultured bacterium
Lineage: Bacteria
Description: partial 16S rRNA
Rfam family: Bacterial small subunit ribosomal RNA
Source: RNAcentral